AGACACGUCCCUCAUCGUCUAACGGCAGGACGCCGGACCUUGGUUCCGGUGGUGCAGGUUCGAUCCCUGCCGCAUUUGCCA
RNAcentral lists this transfer RNA (81 nucleotides) under Nocardia terpenica. RNAcentral's name for it is "tRNA-Gln". The stretch from base 17 to 70 matches the Rfam family "tRNA", at positions 10 to 63 of the family's 71-position model. Rfam says of the family: Transfer RNA (tRNA) molecules are approximately 80 nucleotides in length. Their secondary structure includes four short double-helical elements and three loops (D, anti-codon, and T loops). Further hydrogen bonds mediate the characteristic L-shaped molecular structure. tRNAs have two regions of fundamental functional importance: the anti-codon, which is responsible for specific mRNA codon recognition, and the 3' end, to which the tRNAs corresponding amino acid is attached (by aminoacyl-tRNA synthetases). tRNAs cope with the degeneracy of the genetic code in two manners: having more than one tRNA (with a specific anti-codon) for a particular amino acid; and 'wobble' base-pairing, i.e. permitting non-standard base-pairing at the 3rd anti-codon position. Lineage: Bacteria; Bacillati; Actinomycetota; Actinomycetes; Mycobacteriales; Nocardiaceae. The record is from RNAcentral.